GUUUAUCACUAAAGAUCAGUUGGUUAAACCCUCAGGAUUUACUUCUUGAGAUUCCCUUUCAACUGCUGCAGUUUUUACCCCUUCUAGAGUUUGGAUCAAUUUGCGAAGAAGUUUGUCAGGAUCAUCAUUAGGAGACUUGGGCAUGAGGUUCUCUGCAACAUCAGCAGGGGUGAUUUUGACACAUCUGAUCAAUUCUUUAAUUUGAUCAAAUAGGAGAUGAGUCUCUAGAUUCAAGUAAUUUUUUGCAAGCACUUUGAAUGCCUCGAAGCUGCAAUAAGAAAGCUCAAUAUGUUUGUCCAUCCGACCUGUUCUAAUGAGGGCUGGAUCAAGCUUCUCCACAUAAUUGGUUGUGAAAACAAUAAGUCUUUCCCCACCACUAGCUGACCAUAAUCCAUCAAUGAAGUUCAACAAUCCCGAGAGAGUGACUUUACUGCUGGUGUCGUCCUCUUCUUUCUUUGAGGAUUCUUUGGGGGAUUUCUCUUUGUCAUCUGUAGACUUUUCUUCUUUCUUCUUUCUCUGCCCUGUAAGAUCAAGUGAGCAAUCAAUAUCCUCAAUCACAACGAUCGAUUUACUUGUCGUUUCGAUCAAAAGUGUUCGAAGCUGGGUGUUGUUCUUCACUGCAGUGAGCUCCAGGUCAUAAACAUCAUAAUUUAGCAGAUUGGCCAUUGCAGCGAUCAUUGUUGACUUUCCUGUCCCAGGUGGACCAUAUAAAAGAUAACCACGUUUCCAUGCCUUCCCAAUUCGAGCAUACAACUCUUUGCUCCUGGUGAAGGUCAAUAAAUCAUCUAUAAUCUCCUGCUUUUUCUCUGACUCCAUUGCUAUGGUGUCAAAUGUUGCAGGGUGCUCAAAUACGAUGUGGCUCCACAUGGUUUGGCUGUAAUACCAUCUACCACCAGAGCCAUUGGUAAAAAGCUUCCUCUGCCUGUUUCUCACUCUGAUUUCUUUCCCUUCACCCAAGACAUGCUUCAAAUAUGUUUCUGUAAUUAAUUUUCUGCUCCGCUUAUGAAACGUGAGUGUAUAGUAUCUCCUAUCAGGAUCUGGAAAAGAAUUGCCUGAACUUUUCGACGAACCUGUCAUGUUUAAAACCCACCAUACUUUUACUCCUUGAAAUUCAUCGGUCACCUUUUCAUGAUCAUCCAUACUCAAUACCAAGUUGGUGCUAUCUUGUCCUAUCUCAGCUUUGAGUCGUGUAGCACUUUGGGAUGAAUUUUUGCUGAGAUAUGACUCAACCGCUGAGAAAGCUUCACUCCGCUUGAGGCGUUCACCAACAUAUUCGUGGACUGAGAUCUGGAUGUAAGGAUGGAAGUAGUUCAUGAAUCUCAACGAGUAUUUUUCAAAGUAAUGACGAAAUGCUCGGGGGCAAGAUUGUUGAAUCAUAGCCCACACAAACAUGAAACUUGCAAUGGUUGGACCAGCAGCUGCCCACCACCCUGCCAUGGAUGUUGCUCCCAUCCACAUUGUUGCAGUGGUACUGGUGUUCUGGUGGUGUUGCUCCCCAGCAGAGCUUAUGCUUUGUAAACCACUGAAAAGGGAAUACAUUUGUGAAAGAGUAGUAAGAUUGGAAGGCAAGUGAGAAGAAGUGGGAUGAUGUAUGGACAAUGGAAAGUAUCAUUAUUAAUAAGUGAGGACUUAUGAUGCGUGGCAUUGGGUCCCAACAUUGACUGCUAGCUUCGACAUGCGUCAAGAAUUGUAUUGUGGUUUUUCCUUCUUAAUCUAUUGAUUUCUCUAUUUGUAAUGACUAAACAGGCAACAGGAUUGGCAUUGGCAUACCCCAUGUGAGCUGAAUUACAAAUUUGGAUGACCUUGAAAGAAAACAAAGCACACUCUAACAUAAGGUACCGUCCAAAUUACUUUUACAUCUGAUUUUAGGCCUUGAACUAUGAAUUAAUAUUUUCCUUCAAGUGACGAACCAUAUAGUUUAAUUAUUUUAAUUCAGAAGAAAAGUUGUAUUAGGACUUAGGAAGGAGAAAGUGGAAGAUGACGAUAGAGUUGUGACAUGUACAUGAUUACGUCAACUUGAUGGACAAUAUGUAAUCGUCUAAAUCAAGGAAUGAGAGAGAAGGGUCAUGAAAUUACAUAGAAAGAUCUUUAAAAGUGAUUAAGUAAGCUUCGUCCACCCUACAAAUUUCAUUGCCUGAUUUCAUUUGUGCAUGUUUGAAUUUAUGGAAAACAAAUUAAUAUAAUUUUGUCUGUUCAGUUUAUGAAUAAGAAUGAAGUAUAUGAAAUUGCAAAAACCAAAUUAGGACAAGCAUGAAAUUAACUUUUAACUUGAUUAUUGAAUGGUUUUUAGUCAUUUAAUGUACCAAUCAAAUACCUAUCACCUAAAAUUUAUUGGUAAACAAACCUUCAACUUAAGUAUUAAAACAUUCCGUCUCAAGCAUAAAAGCGCUUGCUUAGGUGAGUGUAAUGGAGAGAGAGGUCGUAACCUCUACAAACAAGAGAUAUCAAUUAAGGGUAUGGAAAGUUCAAUCUCACACUUUUCCUAAACUAAUCAAUGAAGAGAAAAAAAAAAUUAAAAUGAGUCUAGUUCAUAUGAAGUUCAUAAAAUUUGUUUAGAUGACAAUUUUUUUAAAUGUUUUAUGACAUUUAUAAAGGAUGAUGGAGAUAUUAAUGUGUGGUUGAGGUUAAACAAUUGGAUGUACUCAUCUCUUCUUGUUUCUUUUUAAUGUUCGUUGGUUGGCUUCUUCUCCUCCUUCGAGCUAUUUUUAAAGACAAAUUAGCGACGCCAUUAUUGACUCAUUACCUAAUAAGACAUGCAUUGUGAAGGAAAAAAAUGAAAGAAAACGACUGUGGUACUUGUCAGCCUGUGAGUGGAUGAACUGUUCUUUCGUUCUUUCUAUUACCCUUUGCUUUAUGAGUUCGUUGAGAUUAAAAAAGUAACUCUUCUUUUUAAUUAAAAAAGGAACACUUCUAACAUAAAACUUAAUAUCAAUUGAUACCUUUAAAAUUUUACUUUGUAUAAUUCAAAUUUUUUGAAGUUAUUCAAAACAGUUCAUGCACCAAAUUACAACGAAAGAGAUAGCCUUUGAAUACUCCUUUUAGGCAAGGUUUCUAAAACUGAAUGUCUUUGAUUAUUUUCCGUAAAACAAUAUCCUUUCCCCUACAAUAAUUUCAGUCGGGUAUAGAGUUUUUUCCUUUUUCUUGAAUCUUUCCUAACUGCUCUUUUUGUGGCAGUGGCAGAGAUGAGAACCUGUUGAUACAAUAAUUAUGAUGGACUGGCUUCAAGGUUUAUUUCUAUGUCAGGGUAACUAUUGUUAGUGCUCUUCCUCUGCUUUAUUUCUAAUCCCACCAUAGUUGUGACUGGUUGAACUAGAAGGCUAUCACUAAUGGGCAAUGGUUUCUUUUAUACAAAUCAUACUCUUCUUUGAUUUUCCUACAUAUUUUUGAGAAUCAAGCACCAAAUCAAAUUGAAAACGAAGUUGAUUCAGUUUCUAUGAUUUGUUUAACAAACUUUUAAUUGAAGGAAGAGAUGUCUUAAAUGUAAUAUAAACUAACAAUUUGAACAUUUUUAUUAACUAAGAGAAUUCUAUACCAUUUUUAGACAGAAGAGCUAAAAUAUUUCCAGUAGCAUAAAUUUUCAUUAUCAGCCAUAAUUAGGAAGUGCUAAAUUCAAAUUGUAGAUGAGCCCAACAAGCACUAAGGAGAAAGUGCUAAAUUCUACUAGAAUACGAGCCUAACAAGCACUAUGCAGAAAGUGUUAAAUUGAACUAGAAGAUGAGCGUUCACCUUCAGUUUGUGACUGAAGAUAGGUUGUGGUUGAUUCCGCUGUAUUUGCUUCUUGAGAUUCCUCAACUAUUGCUGCUUCCUUUGCCUGUUGCAAAGUUUGAAUUAAUUUGUGAAUACGUUUCUCAAGGUCAUCUUUUGGAGACUUGGGCAUGAGGUUCUCUGCAACAUCAGCGGGUGUGAUAUUGACAUCUUCAAUCAGUUCUUUGAUCUGAUCAAAUAAUGGAUGAGUUUCGAGAUUCAAGUAAUUCUUCGCCAGCACUAGAAAUGACUCAAAACUACAAUAAGAAAGCUCAAUAUGUUUAUCCAUCCGACCAGUUCUGAUAAGUGCUGGAUCAAGUUUCUCUACAUAAUUAGUAGUGAAAACAAUAAGCCUUUCCCCACCACAAGCUGACCAUAUUCCAUCAAUGAAAUUCAACAAUCCGGACAAAGUAACUUUACUACUGCUCUCAUCUUCUUUAUGGGAAGAUUCUUUGGAAGGUUUUUCUUUCUCAUCAUCCUUCAACUUCUCUUCUUUCUUCUUCCUCUGCCCCGUUAAAUCAAGCGAGCAAUCGAUAUCCUCAAUCACGAUUAUCGAUUUGCUGGUAGUCUCAAUCAAAAGUUUCCUAAGCUCUGUGUUGUUUUUCACUGCAGUGAGUUCCAAGUCAUAAAUAUCGUAGUUCAGUAGAUUUGCCAUUGCAGCAAUCAUAGUUGAUUUCCCUGUUCCUGGUGGACCAUAUAGAAGAUACCCACGUUUCCAAGCCUUCCCAAUUCGAGCAUAAAAAUCCUUACUGCUUGUAAAGGUCUGCAAAUCAUCUAUAAUCUCUUGCUUUUUCUUUGCUUCCAUUCCUAUGGUGUCAAAUGUUGCAGGGUGCUCAAACACUAUGUGACUCCACAUAGUAUGGCUGUAACUCCAUCUUCCACCAGAACCAUUGGUAUAAAGCUUCCUUUGCCUGUUUCUUACUCUAAUUUCUUUCCCUUCACUCAACACAUACUUCAAAUAUGGUUCCGUAAUUAAACUUCUGUGAUUCUUGUGGAAAGUGAGUGUAUAAUAUCUCUUAUCAGGAUUGGGAUACGAAUUAUCAGGAUUUGUUGAUGAACCUGUUCUGUUUAAAACCCACCAUACUUUCACUCCUUGAAAUUCAUCAGUCACUUUUUCAUGAUCAUCCAUACUGAACACCAAAUUUGUGCUGUCUUUUCCUAUCUCAGCUUUGAGUCUUUUGGCUGUAUUGGAUGAAUUCUUGCUGAGAUAUGAUUCAAUUGCAAUGAAAGCUUCACUACGUUUAAGACGUUCACCAGCAAAUUCAUGGAUGGAGAUCUGUAUGUAAGGAUGGAAGUAGUUCAUGAGUCUACGCCAG
This 5060-nucleotide long non-coding RNA is filed under the name Cucumis sativus (cucumber). Its description in RNAcentral is "long non-coding RNA (CSAT_LNC000079)". The record is from RNAcentral. Lineage: Eukaryota; Viridiplantae; Streptophyta; Magnoliopsida; Cucurbitales; Cucurbitaceae.